This is a non-coding RNA of Drosophila melanogaster (fruit fly), 763 nucleotides long. The record is from Ensembl. NCBI's taxonomy places the organism in Eukaryota, Metazoa, Arthropoda, Insecta, Diptera, Drosophilidae.
AUGAAUCGUGAUUUAUUUAGCGGAACAAUUUGUCAGUGCGGUGGCGUGGCCCGAGGGCCGAAAGUCCAUUUCGUUUAUUUCGCUGGAUGGCAGGCAGAAAAGGGGUGGAAGUGCCGGUUGCUGUUGACUUGUGAGUGCUUUGCACCCGGAAUUGGGAAAACCGGGUAUCCAGAGCACAAACACCGAUACGGACACGGAUGCGGACACAUUUACGGACACGAGUGGAGGGAGAGAUUCGCGCAACUAUUUGUGAAAUUCGGGUAGAACAUAAAAUUGCGUUAUCUAUGGUCUCAUUAUCAUCAACAGACGUCGGUCGAAAUCCGGCACCCUUAUCCUCAGUCUCAGUCCAAUGUCAAUCCGAAUCCGAGUCCCGUCCGGAUGCAGUCAAGUUGAAAAUUAAUUUUGUCACAGUUGCGCAUCGGCGAAGUGUCAUUAUGAUAUCGCGAUAUUCCCACCGACACUCCGCCCACUCUGCGAUGAUUCCGUUGAUGAUGAGAUCCUGUCGUUGGAACUUCCGCACAUUUGGUAUAAAUAUAUUUGUGCGAGGGUCGCUCUUCGCGUUGCCAAUUGCUAGGCACACGUCGCUAGUUCACCCCUCGCGCAUUUGCCGGUCGGCAAAUUGAAAUAGUCGCGUGAUUCCGUCGAUUUUUUAAGCGAUUCGAUUUGCUGGCAAUUUGUUUGCCAUUAGGCAGUUAAAAAGUUUUCACUUCUUUUGGGGUGGUACUACCUAAGGAAUAUAUUUUGACUGCAACGCCUACGUGGG